GACGAACGCUGGCGGCGUGCUUAACACAUGCAAGUCGAACGGAAAGGCCCUGCUUUUGUGGGGUGCUCGAGUGGCGAACGGGUGAGUAACACGUGAGUAACCUGCCCUUGACUUUGGGAUAACUUCAGGAAACUGGGGCUAAUACCGGAUAGGAGCUCCUGCUGCAUGGUGGGGGUUGGAAAGUUUCGGCGGUUGGGGAUGGACUCGCGGCUUAUCAGCUUGUUGGUGGGGUAGUGGCUUACCAAGGCUUUGACGGGUAGCCGGCCUGAGAGGGUGACCGGCCACAUUGGGGCUGAGAUACGGCCAAGACUCCUACGGGAGGCAGCAGUGGGGAAUAUUGCACAAUGGGCGGAAGCCUGAUGCAGCAACGCCGCGUGCGGGAUGACGGCCUUCGGGUUGUAAACCGCUUUCGCCUGUGACGAAGCGUGAGUGACGGUAAUGGGUAAAGAAGCACCGGCUAACUACGUG
Molecule: ribosomal RNA, 468 nt
Filed under: uncultured bacterium
Lineage: Bacteria
Description: partial 16S ribosomal RNA
Rfam family: Bacterial small subunit ribosomal RNA
Source: RNAcentral